Molecule: long non-coding RNA, 485 nt
Organism: Mastomys coucha (southern multimammate mouse)
Lineage: Eukaryota; Metazoa; Chordata; Mammalia; Rodentia; Muridae
Exons: 3
Source: RefSeq, a predicted model, not a curated record
CUUUGCCACUGGCAGGGACAUGUGACCUGGCAUUUGCCCACUGUCCUUAGGACCAGAGAUAUCUCUAAAUCUCAUCCUGUCUCCUUUGCCCCAGCUCUAUAAGGUGGACAGCAGUCCUGAUGUAUUUGGCUAGCGCAGCUCUGCUCCAGAAGUCUCAUUCCCUCCUUAGAACCAGCUAGAUUAUUCUUCUCCAAGACAGUAAUUCGUAAGCAGAUACACAAGUCUCUUAAACAAGCACACUGUCAUUUCGGCCUUCUGCUGUCUCAUAGCAGCUUAGAGACAGAGCAAGAGAGAGGGCUCCACCCACAGAUGCUUGGUUCUGUUGAAGAUAAACAUCAUGACAAUGGGAGUCCAUGGGGAACAAGACUGUUCUCUCCUGGUGGAUGGAAAACAGAUCGAAAAAAUACAGGGAAGAGAUCACUGGAUCUGCUUCAUCCGUUCAUCUCUUCUCACAAGUCAUGUCUGGGGAAGAAAGUAGACAAAAU